AGGCGGCCAUAGCGUGAGGGCCCCACCUCUUCCCAUCCCGAACAGAGAAGUUAAGCCUCACCACGCCGAUGGUACUGCGAGAGUGGGAGAGUAGGUAACCG
Molecule: ribosomal RNA, 101 nt
Filed under: human gut metagenome
Source: RNAcentral